GUAGGAUAUAGCGAGAUGGAAGCUCCCUUAUGUUCAUUAUCUGAAAAACUUUCAAGGCAUGUCUACACAGCACACCUUCAAACUCAAACAUUUUACAACUGCAACUGAUGUUAAGAUUGGAGGCAUUGAAGGCAACUGUAUGCCUCUCAUCUCCAUUUCCACACUUCUGCACCAGAUACCUACUAAUGGCACCUUCAACAUUUAUCUUAAUUCCAACAUAACUAUAGCACUCCAAAAGCUCUUUCUGGAACACUUUGAACAUGGUAAUAGUGUAAAGCCUUCUACACUGGUCCUCUAUAGGGUCCUUUGUGUGCAGAACUGCUUGCAAAUUGAAUGAGUUAAAAUCCUCUUUUCUUUCCUCUUCACGAC
RNAcentral lists this unclassified non-coding RNA (369 nucleotides) under Hevea brasiliensis (rubber tree). The record is from RNAcentral. Lineage: Eukaryota; Viridiplantae; Streptophyta; Magnoliopsida; Malpighiales; Euphorbiaceae.